Molecule: ribosomal RNA, 411 nt
Filed under: uncultured bacterium
Lineage: Bacteria
Description: partial 16S ribosomal RNA
Rfam family: Bacterial small subunit ribosomal RNA
Source: RNAcentral
UGGGGAAUAUUGGACAAUGGGGGCAACCCUGAUCCAGCAAUGCCGCGUGUGUGAAGAAGGUUUUCGGAUUGUAAAGCACUUUCGACGGGGACGAUGAUGACGGUACCCGUAGAAGAAGCCCCGGCUAACUUCGUGCCAGCAGCCGCGGUAAUACGAAGGGGGCUAGCGUUGCUCGGAAUGACUGGGCGUAAAGGGCGUGUAGGCGGUUUGUACAGUCAGAUGUGAAAUCCCCGGGCUUAACCUGGGAGCUGCAUUUGAUACGUGCAGACUAGAGUGUGAGAGAGGGUUGUGGAAUUCCCAGUGUAGAGGUGAAAUUCGUAGAUAUUGGGAAGAACACCGGUGGCGAAGGCGGCAACCUGGCUCAUAACUGACGCUGAGGCGCGAAAGCGUGGGGAGCAAACAGGAUUAGAU